UACGUAGGGUGCGAGCGUUGUCCGGAAUUAUUGGGCGUAAAGGGCUCGUAGGCGGUCUGUCGCGUCGGGAGUGAAAACUCAGGGCUUAACCCUGAGCCUGCUUCCGAUACGGGCAGACUAGAGGUAUGCAGGGGAGAACGGAAUUCCUGGUGUAGCGGUGAAAUGCGCAGAUAUCAGGAGGAACACCGGUGGCGAAGGCGGAUCUCUGGGCCUUGCCUGACGCUGAGGCGCGAAAGCUAGGGGAGCGAACAGG
Molecule: ribosomal RNA, 253 nt
Filed under: uncultured bacterium
Lineage: Bacteria
Description: partial 16S ribosomal RNA
Rfam family: Bacterial small subunit ribosomal RNA
Source: RNAcentral